GGGUGGCUUUUAGCCGAGCGGUCUUCGGGGAUGAUUUCCGUAAAGGUGCAUGAGUGGUGUUUGGUUUGUUGCGGAUGGUUGGAUGUCUGCUUGUGCAGCAAUUUCCAUGCGGGCUUACCUCUUCAAUUGUGCUACAAGMCUUGUUUGGCUUGCAGCGUUCAGUGGGUUUCUUGUGUUGAUUACCUAAUCGAUGGCAUUGUUUGUMCCCAUUAGUGUGAUUUUGUAAAACGUUGCUUGCGGCGUGAUACAAACAAUGAAGCAACCUUUGUUGUUCAACCUGUUGCUGCUCAUGCAUCGAYGGCUUGGCCCAUGAAGUGUUGAUUGGUCCCUUGGAUACGGAACAUGAUGUGGGCACAAGUUCGUCAAAGAUCUUGUAUUUGCCCUAUUGAGUGAUUUA
This 397-nucleotide unclassified non-coding RNA is filed under the name Tragopogon sabulosus. Its description in RNAcentral is "partial external transcribed spacer". Lineage: Eukaryota; Viridiplantae; Streptophyta; Magnoliopsida; Asterales; Asteraceae. The record is from RNAcentral.